AAGGAAGAUAAUGACGGUACUUGAGGAGGAAGCCCCGGCUAACUACGUGCCAGCAGCCGCGGUAAUACGGAGGGGGCUAGCGUUAUCCGGAUUUACUGGGCGUAAAGGGUGCGUAGGCGGUCUUUCAAGUCAGGAGUGAAAGGCUACGGCUCAACCGUAGUAAGCUCUUGAAACUGGGAGACUUGAGUGCAGGAGAGGAGAGUGGAAUUCCUAGUGUAGCGGUGAAAUGCGUAGAUAUUAGG
This 242-nucleotide ribosomal RNA is filed under the name Clostridioides difficile. RNAcentral describes it as "partial 16S ribosomal RNA". It matches the Rfam family "Bacterial small subunit ribosomal RNA", at positions 459 to 701 of the family's 1533-position model. Lineage: Bacteria; Bacillati; Bacillota; Clostridia; Peptostreptococcales; Peptostreptococcaceae. The record is from RNAcentral.